UGCAACAACCACAUAAAACAUUACAUUAUAUUCCUCGGUAACACAGAUCCUCACAUUUUACGUAACAUGUUGAAGUAAUGCAUGUUACUACCUCGAGAGGUAAGAGACCAGUAUUACCAAGGUCAAUAAUCUGUUUCAUUUCACCUUCUGGCCAUUUAUAAAUAUGUAAAUGACUUCCGUACAAGCCAUCAGCAACGUGCUGGAGAUUGAAACCUUUGGAGAAAGCUUUAGGUGCUCCCCAAGAAGUGCUGAUCAUCGUCUUGAACCGAGGCUGGUACCAGAAAUCAUACCCAAACUUUGGGGCAUGCCCUGGUUUGUCCCACCUGCUUUUGACGUUGAAAUCAGAGUCAAGAAGGAGAAACCCGUUCCCUUUGGCGUUUCCUUCUUUGUCACCAAGGCAAGAGACCAACAUGUCGCCAGAGGCGAGGCAGUGAGACGUGUGCGGAAAUGCUAAUCCUGUCUUCUCAGAAAUCUCUUUAGGUUCUACAACCUUGUACAAGGACGGAGCUUUUGGGUCGGUCAUCGUGUCGAUUGCGUAGAUGCGGCCAGAUCUUCACCAAGACGAGAAAGAAAAAACGUUAAACAUAAUGAUCUAGAGAUGUACAGGUAAAAGGGGAAGGCGGCUCAAACAAGGUUAGUCUUACAUUAAGCCUGGUAAGACGAGGUAACGUCUACUAGCAGAAGGAUCACCAUGGCAAGAGCUGCAAUUCCUUCUAAAAAUAAGACAGGGACAUUUUGGUCUCGAAUCUACCAAACCGUACAAGUAAAGUGUGUCAAAACUAUAAUGUGUCUUUUGCUGCAAAGAAAAGACGAAAUGUGUCGUUUUAUGUAACCUUCUCAUCUAUUUACAUUCUAGCAAGAAACCAAAAUUGCAUCAGCUUCUCCGUAGCUUUAACCCCCUUCAUUCUCAUAAAUGUGAUCUUGUUACGGAAUCACUUGUCAAACAACUUCUUAAUCACCGGUAAAGGCAUCAACUUAUCACCAUGUAUUACUUUGUUAUGUUCUCUCCAUACUGCAUACAAGACUGUCUGAAAUGCAUAUCUAAUACAAAACAGACUCAUCUUCUCCCUUGUUUCAUCCGAAAUGAUUAGAAAAAUCUCAGACUCACUUUUUUUCUUAUGUGGACUCCAAAUACAAAUCUGAUUCUGUUUGUAAUCAUUUUCUUUCAAAAAUAACUCUGUUUUAGUUUCUUAUGAAUAUUGCGCCUACCCACCUUAUAGAGUUUUAAGGGAAUGUUCAAGGUUUGCACAACAUAACAUACUCUAUAUGCUUAAGCAGUUACUAAACCAUCUUUGGGUCAGGAAGUCUAGGCUCUAGAUAAAGAUUAACUCUAUUUUGCUACUUUUCUUCACUCAUUUGGUAUUUAAAUCUUGCACCACUGGUAAUGCUCAAACCUCAAAAGAAAGGGACACAAUAUAAGUAGGAGGUUAUAAUAUCACGGCUUAUUUAUUACACUCUGGAAAACAUAACAAUGAGUCAUUUUUUUUGCUUAAAAACAUAACACUGAGUUUGAAUAUAAAAAAAAAACAUAACAGUGAGUCAAACCCAAUUUUACUCGUUUUAGGGGUCCAAUUCAAAUCCAGAUAUCAGAUGUGCAGUCUCCGCCGGGAUAUCUCAUCUCAUGGGCAAGCGCAGGACCAUCGGGUUCUUCACCAAAGUCCACAAAGAAAUCAGGGUUUAUUGAGAGACCACCUUUCUCUGUAUCAACAUCAAUCUGAAUUAUGUGUGAUCCUUUAUCCAUGAGUUCUGGGUAAAACUGACGGUCCCACGCGCUGAACAGUGAGUUUGUUGCAUACAAUCGUUUACCAUCAAGGCUCAGCUGGAUCAUCUGAGGUCCUGCUCGUAGAGAUUUCCCCUACAAAUACCGAGAUAUUAAAGAAAAAAGUGCUCCCAAAUGAAUGUUUAUUUUUGUAAGUAAAACAAACCUUGAUCUGAGGAACAUCAAACUGGUAAGUGGUACCAUCUUCUCUAACAGCCUUUACAGGGCUGCCUUUUUGUAGUAAUCCGCCCACCCAAAUUUGACCAGUUAAGACAGGGUUUUUAGGGUCUUCAAUGUUGUACUGACGAAUGUCUCCAUGAAGCCAGUUCACAAAGUAGAAAAACCGAUCAUCGAGGGAGAUCAAGAAGUCGGUGAUAAGCCCCGGCAUUUCUGGAAGAAUCCAGUUCUCUACUUUCAGUGGUUCAACUGAUAUAACCACCUACCGAAAAAAUCAAUUUAAGGGUUAAUCAUAGCUUUGAAGAACCAAAGUAAAAAAAAGAGGUUAUGAAGAUAAUUCAGAAACUCGCUGCAAAGAAAAGACGAAAUGUGUCGUUUUAUGUAACCUUCUCAUCUAUUUACAUUCUAGCAAGAAACCAAAAUUGCAUCAGCUUCUCCGUAGCUUUAACCCCCUUCAUUCUCAUAAAUGUGAUCUUGUUACGGAAUCACUUGUCAAACAACUUCUUAAUCACCGGUAAAGGCAUCAACUUAUCACCAUGUAUUACUUUGUUAUGUUCUCUCCAUACUGCAUACAAGACUGUCUGAAAUGCAUAUCUAAUACAAAACAGACUCAUCUUCUCCCUUGUUUCAUCCGAAAUGAUUAGAAAAAUCUCAGACUCACUUUUUUUCUUAUGUGGACUCCAAAUACAAAUCUGAUUCUGUUUGUAAUCAUUUUCUUUCAAAAAUAACUCUGUUUUAGUUUCUUAUGAAUAUUGCGCCUACCCACCUUAUAGAGUUUUAAGGGAAUGUUCAAGGUUUGCACAACAUAACAUACUCUAUAUGCUUAAGCAGUUACUAAACCAUCUUUGGGUCAGGAAGUCUAGGCUCUAGAUAAAGAUUAACUCUAUUUUGCUACUUUUCUUCACUCAUUUGGUAUUUAAAUCUUGCACCACUGGUAAUGCUCAAACCUCAAAAGAAAGGGACACAAUAUAAGUAGGAGGUUAUAAUAUCACGGCUUAUUUAUUACACUCUGGAAAACAUAACAAUGAGUCAAACCCAAUUUUACUCUUUUUUAGGGGUCCAAUUCAAAUCCAGAUAUCAGAUGUGCAGUCUCCGCCGGGAUAUCUCAUCUCAUGGGCAAGCGCAGGACCAUCGGGUUCUUCACCAAAGUCCACAAAGAAAUCAGGGUUUAUUGAGAGACCACCUUUCUCUGUAUCAACAUCAAUCUGAAUUAUGUGUGAUCCUUUAUCCAUGAGUUCUGGGUAAAACUGACGGUCCCACGCGCUGAACAGUGAGUUUGUUGCAUACAAUCGUUUACCAUCAAGGCUCAGCUGGAUCAUCUGAGGUCCUGCUCGUAGAGAUUUCCCCUACAAAUACCGAGAUAUUAAAGAAAAAAGUGCUCCCAAAUGAAUGUUUAUUUUUGUAAGUAAAACAAACCUUGAUCUGAGGAACAUCAAACUGGUAAGUGGUACCAUCUUCUCUAACAGCCUUUACAGGGCUGCCUUUUUGUAGUAAUCCGCCCACCCAAAUUUGACCGGUUAAGACAGGGUUUUUAGGGUCUUCAAUGUUGUACUGACGAAUGUCUCCAUGAAGCCAGUUCACAAAGUAGAAAAACCGAUCAUCGAGGGAGAUCAAGAAGUCGGUGAUAAGCCCCGGCAUUUCUGGAAGAAUCCAGUUCUCUACUUUCAGUGGUUCAACUGAUAUAACCACCUACCGAAAAAAUCAAUUUAAGGGUUAAUCAUAGCUUUGAAGAACCAAAGUAAAAAAAAGAGGUUAUGAAGAUAAUUCAGAAACUCCACUUGCCUCAUGGCUCCAUGUGUCAUCACUGUUCCUGAAAAAUCUUAUCAUAUUACUCGACAAUGCACUCCCAACAUACCCUGUAUCUUUAGAUGGAUCAUGCAAGAAUCUUAUCUGCAACAACCACAUAAAACAUUACAUUAUAUUCCUCGGUAACACAGAUCCUCACAUUUUACGUAACAUGUUGAAGUAAUGCAUGUUACUACCUCGAGAGGUAAGAGACCAGUAUUACCAAGGUCAAUAAUCUGUUUCAUUUCACCUUCUGGCCAUUUAUAAAUAUGUAAAUGACUUCCGUACAAGCCAUCAGCAACGUGCUGGAGAUUGAAACCUUUGGAGAAAGCUUUAGGUGCUCCCCAAGAAG
Molecule: long non-coding RNA, 4073 nt
Filed under: Brassica napus (rape)
Lineage: Eukaryota; Viridiplantae; Streptophyta; Magnoliopsida; Brassicales; Brassicaceae
Description: long non-coding RNA (BNAP_LNC021442)
Source: RNAcentral